AGCCGCGGUAAUACGUAGGGUGUAAGCGUUAUCCGGAAUUAUUGGGCGUAAAGAGCUCGUAGGCGGUUUGUCGCGUCUGCUGUGAAAACUGGAGGCUCAACCUCCAGCCUGCAGUGGGUACGGGCAGACUAGAGUGCGGUAGGGGAGAUUGGAAUUCCUGGUGUAGCGGUGGAAUGCGCAGAUAUCAGGAGGAACACCGAUGGCGAAGGCAGAUCUCUGGGCCGUAACUGACGCUGAGGAGCGAAAGCGUGGGGAGCGAACAGGAUUAGAUACCCUGGUAGUCCACGCCGUAAACGUUGGGAACUAGAUGUAGGGACCAUUCCACGGUUUCUGUGUCGCAGCUAACGCAUUAAGUUCCCCGCCUGGGGAGUACGGCCGCAAGGCUAAAACUCAAAGGAAUUGACGGGGGCCCGCACAAGCGGCGGAGCAUGCGGAUUAAUUCGAUGCAACGCGAAGAACCUUACCAAGGCUUGACAUACACGAGAACGGGCCAGAAAUGGUCAACUCUUUGGACACUCGUGAACAGGUGGUGCAUGGUUGUCGUCAGCUCGUGUCGUGAGAUGUUGGGUUAAGUCCCGCAACGAGCGCAACCCUCGUUCUAUGUUGCCAGCACGUAAUGGUGGGAACUCAUAGGAGACUGCCGGGGUUCAACUCGGAGGAAGGUGGGGAUGACGUCAAAUCAUCCAUGCCCCCUUUAUGUCUUUGGGCCUUCAACGCCAUGCU
This 723-nucleotide ribosomal RNA is filed under the name uncultured Actinomycetes bacterium. RNAcentral's name for it is "bacterial SSU rRNA". It matches the Rfam family "Bacterial small subunit ribosomal RNA", at positions 513 to 1226 of the family's 1533-position model. The record is from RNAcentral. Lineage: Bacteria; Bacillati; Actinomycetota; Actinomycetes.